Molecule: ribosomal RNA, 417 nt
Filed under: uncultured bacterium
Lineage: Bacteria
Description: bacterial SSU rRNA
Rfam family: Bacterial small subunit ribosomal RNA
Source: RNAcentral
GGCCAGCAGCCGCGGUAAUACAGAGGUCCCAAGCGUUGUUCGGAUUCACUGGGCGUAAAGGGUGCGUAGGUGGUGGGGUAAGUCGGAUGUGAAAGCUCGGAGCUCAACUCCGAAAUGGCAUUGGAAACUGCCCUGCUAGAGGAUUGGAGGGGGGACUGGAAUACUUGGUGUAGCAGUGAAAUGCGUAGAUAUCAAGUGGAACACCAGUGGCGAAGGCGAGUCCCUGGACAAUUCCUGACACUGAGGCACGAAAGCUAGGGGAGCAAACAGGAUUAGAUACCCUGGUAGUCCUAGCCGUAAACGGUGCACGUUUGCUGUAAAAGGAAUCGACCCCUUUUGUGGCGUAGCCAACGCGUUAAACGUGCCGCCUGGGAAGUACGGUCGCAAGAUUAAAACUUAAAGGAAUUGGCGGGGGAC